Molecule: long non-coding RNA, 468 nt
Filed under: Equus asinus (donkey)
Lineage: Eukaryota; Metazoa; Chordata; Mammalia; Perissodactyla; Equidae
Description: lncRNA (ENSEASG00005030687.1)
Source: RNAcentral
CGGAGGCCUGGGGACGCCGAGGGCCUAGCUGAGGGAGGCCGGAUUCAGGGCAGCAGAGGGAAGGAGGCCAGUCCCGGCCAGGGGCCCAGGGAGCCCCAGGAAGGAGAACACUAGACCCAGGGCGUCCAGAUCCCUAGGGCACAGGCCGCCCUGGACAACAGAUCCCUGUGAAGCCGAGAGCACCCCUAAGAAGAGACCUGCCCGUGGGUCUCUGUCAGUCACCCCCUGCCCACACUCCUGCCCGCUGCCUGACAUGAAUCUAGGUCGGAUGGGUGAGCUCUGCAAGCGUGAGGAAGACCAUCAGGACCCAAGAGAGGCCCAGGGCCUGGUGGAUGCGCAGCUGUCUGGGGCUGAGGAGGAGGAGGCCAUAUCCCCCUCAUCCUCCCCCUCUGUCCCCUUCCUGGGCACCCUGGAGGAGGUGGCUGUGGCUGCGACCACGAGUCCUGAACAGGGCCAUCCGAGUGCUCA